RNAcentral lists this ribosomal RNA (442 nucleotides) under uncultured bacterium. RNAcentral's name for it is "partial 16S ribosomal RNA". It matches the Rfam family "Bacterial small subunit ribosomal RNA", at positions 338 to 795 of the family's 1533-position model. The record is from RNAcentral.
CCUACGGGUGGCAGCAGUGGGGAAUAUUGGGCAAUGGGCGCAAGCCUGACCCAGCAACGCCGCGUGAAGGCAGAAGGCUUUCGGGUUGUAAACUUCUUUUGUCAGGGAUGAGAAGAUGACGGUACCUGACAAAGAAACCCCGGCUAACUACGUGCCAGCCGCCGCGGUAAUACGUAGGGGGCAAGCGUUAUCCGGAGUGACUGGGUGUAAAGGGGGCGCAGACGGCCAUGCAAGCCCGGCGUGAAAGCCCGGGGCCCAACCCCGGGACUGCCCUUGAAACUGCUUGGCUGGAGUACAGGAGGGGCAGGCGGAAUUCCUAGUGUAGCGGUGAAAUGCGUAGAUAUUAGGAGGAACACCGGUGGCGAAGGCGGCCUGCUGGACUGUAACUGACGUUGAGGCCCGAAGGCGUGGGGAGCAAACAGGAUUAGAUACCCGAGUAGUC